CAGAAUACUACAAGUCAUCAACUUCAAAAUAUGUUAAAUUUACAAUAAACUAGCUAUACAAUUGUUAAGAAGCCUUAUUUAAAAUUUACAAUUAUACUCUAAUAAAAACCCUUUGAUUUAUCCCCAUGCACGUACAAGCGACACACCAACUCCAACUUCAUUUUUCUUUGGUACCUACAACCGUAUUUAAUGUAAGGGUCAAUUUUCUUAUCCAAAUUGAAUCAUGCCGAACGGAAGGUAAAUGUCAUAAAAUAACAAUAAAAUACUCGGCCAUAAAGAAGAAAUAAAAUAAAAUCGAUACCAGAAACUAUUCUUAAUAACACUAUACCAGUUAAUAAUGCAUGAAAUGCAUCUAAACCAUGAUCCAGAUAUCACCUCUCCGCAGAGCAAAAUAAAGUGUCCCACCAUUGGACAGUGUCCCACCGUUGGACACAAUACCCCACCGUUGGGUAUUAAGGUUCGGUACCCCACCGUUGGGUAUUGUUCCGAAUCACACAAACCUAUAACAACAACUAUAUGCUAUGCUAUGCAUACUAUAGACACCUUUUAAAACCAGCACCAUUUGAUUAAAAUCAAUUGAAAGUGUAGAACUUUCUUUUAAACCCGAUAAAUUCACCAUUUAUCGAAACUGACAAAAUACUCAAAUUGACAAUCAACCACACACAAAAUCAUAAAAAUAAAUAUACAAUCAGCCACACACAUAAGUACUCCAUAUAUUAACAUAGCAUAAAAUGUUAUCAAAAUAAGUCUUCGCCAUUCCUUCUAUUUCCAUCUCUAUUGGUUAAAUACUUCAUUCUCAAUCUAUAACAUAAACCUUAAGUGCACGAGUGUAUGGGGAAAAAGCCCUUACCUUAGGCGCUUUCCUUCCAAGCAUACGUCUCUAAGCUAAUUUGACGCUUACGCACCCUAUAUCAGGUUUGCACGCAUAAACUUUUUGUUCCUUCGCCUCCUCGUGUUCUCUGAUUGUUCCAACUCGAAAAUUUGUGGUUGGGAGUAAAAAUAAAAUAUAAGAAUAUGCUCUAAAAUGGUCAAUUUUGAAAUUGGGCCGAAGAACCUUACCCCAAAUCAGAAAAUAAUCUGGUGGAGAAUAUUACUGACGUUUAUGCGGUUGAUUCGUCGUUGAUUUCACUCAAAUCGGAGUUACAAUGACAAAGAUCGGAACAAAAGGGUGAAUCUCGUCGAUGAAGAAAAUUGGAGUUUCGACAAAGACAAUGGAAUAUCUAUAUAUUCGAAAGAGUGAAUUAAAUAAACUGACUCAUAGGUAGAAACAUCAUACCAAAAUUUAAACGAAAAAGGAGCAGGCUAAUUGCACAGCUAAUUGAAACCGAAACCAAUUUCCUCACCUCUUCUCCGUCGCUGCUGCCAUACUCUCUCACUCUGUGUGUUACUGUUCCAAAACUAAUUCCAAUAUCUAGGUUCAUAACCCAUCACUUGUUCUCCAACGUGGCUCAUCACCCACUAAGCACUAACUCCUUCAAUUUAGGUUCACUUAACAGAAAUGCAUACUCUUAG
Molecule: long non-coding RNA, 1512 nt
Filed under: Trifolium pratense (red clover)
Lineage: Eukaryota; Viridiplantae; Streptophyta; Magnoliopsida; Fabales; Fabaceae
Description: long non-coding RNA (TPRA_LNC009867)
Source: RNAcentral